RNAcentral lists this ribosomal RNA (350 nucleotides) under uncultured eukaryote. RNAcentral describes it as "SSU rRNA". It matches the Rfam family "Eukaryotic small subunit ribosomal RNA", at positions 567 to 922 of the family's 1831-position model. The record is from RNAcentral.
CCAGCAGCUGCGGUAAUUCCAGCUCCAAUAGCGUAUAUUAAAGUUGUUGCAGUUAAAAAGCUCGUAGUUGGAUUUCGGGUGGGGCCGUCCGGUCCGCCGUUUCGGUGUGCACUGGCCGGGCCCACCUUGUUGUCGGGGACGGGCUCCUGGGCUUCGCUGUCCGGGACCCGGAGUCGGCGUGGUUACUUUGAGUAAAUUAGAGUGUUCAAAGCAGGCCUACGCUCUGAAUACAUUAGCAUGGAAUAACACGAUAGGACUCUGGCCUAUCCUGUUGGUCUGUAGGACCGGAGUAAUGAUUAAGAGGGACAGUCGGGGGCAUUCGUAUUUCAUUGUCAGAGGUGAAAUUCUUG